CACGUAGGGGGCGAGCGUUGUCCGGAUUCAUUGGGCGUAAAGGGCGCGCAGGCGGCCCGGAAAGUCGGAUGUGAAAACUCGGGGCUCAACCCCGAGCGUGCACCCGAUACUGCCGGGCUUGAGGCAGGUAGGGGAGAUCGGAAUUCCUGGUGUAGCGGUGAAAUGCGCAGAUAUUAGGAGGAACACCGGUGGCGAAGGCGGAUCUCUGGGCCUGUCCUGACGCUGAGGCGCGAAAGCUAGGGGAGCGAACAGG
RNAcentral lists this ribosomal RNA (253 nucleotides) under uncultured bacterium. RNAcentral's name for it is "partial 16S ribosomal RNA". It matches the Rfam family "Bacterial small subunit ribosomal RNA", at positions 524 to 776 of the family's 1533-position model. The record is from RNAcentral.